Long non-coding RNA from Teleopsis dalmanni, 344 nucleotides. RefSeq lists it as uncharacterized. The transcript is spliced from 2 exons. The record is from RefSeq and is a predicted model, not a curated record. NCBI's taxonomy places the organism in Eukaryota, Metazoa, Arthropoda, Insecta, Diptera, Diopsidae.
AAGGAAUACCUGAUUAUUCCGUUUUCUAUAAAACGAACCAAAUUUCAAACAUUCAAAUCACGACCGCUUUUACGAACUCCUCAAUCAUAACAUAUGAAACGUUAUUUCUUGGAACAAGCAAAAUUGGCGGCUGUUUCAAGUUCUUGUCGGUUGCGAAAACAAAUCAAAAAUUCUUAAUACUAUAAAAUAUUUUUAACAAGUUCCAGAAUUAAUUGAAAAAAGUUGAACAUAUAUUCGAACUGAAGUCAUGAAACACGUAUCAAGUAUCACGAAUCACGAAUCAUGAAUCACGAAACACGAAUUUUUUGGAGGAAGAUACAUACCAGCCUUAAAACCAAAUCCAA